CAGUCGCCGCGGGAAUACGUAGGGUGCAAGCGUUAAUCGGAAUUACUGGGCGUAAAGCGUGCGCAGGCGGUUAUAUAAGACAGUUGUGAAAUCCCCGGGCUCAACCUGGGAACUGCAUCUGUGACUGUAUAGCUAGAGUACGGUAGAGGGGGAUGGAAUUCCGCGUGUAGCAGUGAAAUGCGUAGAUAUGCGGAGGAACACCGAUGGCGAAGGCAAUCCCCUGGACCUGUACUGACGCUCAUGCACGAAAGCGUGGGGAACAAACAGGAUUAGAGACCCCAGUAGUCCCUGUCUCUUAUAA
This 301-nucleotide ribosomal RNA is filed under the name uncultured bacterium. Its description in RNAcentral is "partial 16S ribosomal RNA". It matches the Rfam family "Bacterial small subunit ribosomal RNA", at positions 509 to 809 of the family's 1533-position model. The record is from RNAcentral.